UACGGAGGGUGCUAGCGUUGUUCGGAAUUACUGGGCGUAAAGGGCGCGUAGGCGGCCGUUUGCGUCGGAUGUGAAAGCCCCGGGCUCAACCUGGGAAUGGCAGUGGAAACUAGGGGACUGGAAUCUGGCAGAGGGGGGUGGAAUGCCGCGUGUAGCAGUGAAAUGCGUAGAGAUGCGGCGGAACACCGAUGGCGAAGGCAGCCCCCUGGGCUGAGAUUGACGCUCAGGCACGAAAGCGUGGGGAGCAAACAGG
This 253-nucleotide ribosomal RNA is filed under the name uncultured bacterium. RNAcentral's name for it is "partial 16S ribosomal RNA". It matches the Rfam family "Bacterial small subunit ribosomal RNA", at positions 524 to 776 of the family's 1533-position model. The record is from RNAcentral.